AUUGAACGCUGGCGGCAGGCCUAACACAUGCAAGUCGAGCGGAUGAAGGGAGCUUGCUCCUGGAUUCAGCGGCGGACGGGUGAGUAAUGCCUAGGAAUCUGCCUGGUAGUGGGGGAUAACGUCCGGAAACGGGCGCUAAUACCGCAUACGUCCAGAGGGAGAAAGUGGGGGAUCUUAGGACCUCACGCUAUCAGAUGAGCCUAGGUCGGAUUAGCUAGUUGGUGGGGUAAAGGCCUACCAAGGCGACGAUCCGUAACUGGUCUGAGAGGAUGAUCAGUCACACUGGAACUGAGACACGGUCCAGACUCCUACGGGAGGCAGCAGUGGGGAAUAUUGGACAAUGGGCGAAAGCCUGAUCCAGCCAUGCCGCGUGUGUGAAGAAGGUCUUCGGAUUGUAAAGCACUUUAAGUUGGGAGGAAGGGCAGUAAGUUAAUACCUUGCUGUUUUGACGUUACCAACAGAAUAAGCACCGGCUAACUUCGUG
Molecule: ribosomal RNA, 484 nt
Filed under: uncultured bacterium
Lineage: Bacteria
Description: partial 16S ribosomal RNA
Rfam family: Bacterial small subunit ribosomal RNA
Source: RNAcentral